Rhincodon typus (whale shark) is the source of this 1868-nucleotide long non-coding RNA. RefSeq lists it as uncharacterized. Lineage: Eukaryota; Metazoa; Chordata; Chondrichthyes; Orectolobiformes; Rhincodontidae. The record is from RefSeq and is a predicted model, not a curated record. The transcript is spliced from 4 exons.
ACAAGAUCGGAAUGGGGGAGUCUUAGUUGAAAGAAAGAGAAGAGAAAAUGCAGAAAGAGGAAAUGUGAAGUCUUUGAAAGGUAAACUUCAAGGUGGACAUACAGAAAAAGAACAAGAAAGACAUAAUGGAAGAUACAUGCAGAGAUUAACUGCACCAAAAGAUCCAAUUCCACAAUGCUGGAAAUUUUUUUUUCACGGCACAGCUGAGCAGAACUUGAGUGAAGAGUUGACCUUGCCAUUUGUGGUGAGGUCAGUGAUCUCUGAUUAUUUACAUUCACUCCUUGAACAGGUAGAAGAAGAUACGGGCCAGAAGCCUUACCUCUUCAAAACAAAUAGUUCACACGUUUUCUUCCUUUUUUUUCUGUUUCAGACUGUGGAAGCAUCAGACAUUGAGGGAUCCCUCAAUCGAUGGCUGAUCUAGAGGCUGAGGUUGUUCCUGGCACCAUUCGCGAUCCCGGUCUGAGGUCAAGUCCAGCGACUUAGAACGAAACUUUCUCUCUUCUACGGUGUAACAAACAGCCAGGCACAAAAAGCAACUACAGAAAAACAUGUUGAUUGUGCUGGCUUCAACAGGAACGCUCACAGGACUCAUUCAAGGUCAUGCUGCUGUCGAAUAUCAUCAACAAGUUUAGCCCUUCAGCCCAUUCUAUGCAAUGGCAAAAGAACUGAAGGGAGGCCAAUCUGAAGUGAAACCCUGAAGCACAAGCCUCCUGGGAUAGGUCUCAGCUGGGCCUGAACCAAGUAAGGUCCACAAACCCCAGAUGUGGCAGGAUCAGCACCAAACUUGACAGCUGCACUUCACAGUGGUAUUGAACCCAAGGAAUCAAUGGUCAAUAAUCUGAAGCACUUCACCCGAAACACAGGGAAGAUAAGAAAAGCUGGAGCUUCUGAUUGAAGUCAGGGGCCCUGGAAAAGUGUUACCUCAAAAUUUGGAGCCUCCAGGAGCAAGUUGAAGAUCACCACAUAGUUAGAACACGUAAAUAUAUAAAGAAGAAAUUCCUUUGAGGGAAGAUUUUCAGAGUUCACAUUGCAAUUGCAGGAAUCUUGCCCAUGGAUCACAGAUGUUUGGAAAUCAGCCACAUACUGUCCUUUCAGCAUGGCACAAUGACCUCCAAAAAUCAGCCUGUCUAUAUUUCACUGGAUUUAUUGAAAAGUGAAAGAACUUACACUGAUACAAUGCUUUUAGUGAUCUCAGAACAUUUAAAAGCACUCUCCAGCCAAUUAAGUACCUUUGAAGUUUACUGUUGUAAUAAAAGAAACUCCUGAAAAACAAAGGUUGGUAGCUUUGUUUUCAGCUGUCGAGGUCCUCAGCUUUCAAAUUCCAUCUUUAAACCUCCCUGCCGCCCUACCUGCCUUCUUUUCUUCAUUUAGGAUGCUCCUUAAAACUUUACCUUUUUUGACAAAACUUUUAGCCAUCACCUUACGGGGCUCAGUGACAAAUUCUGCUUUCUUACAGCUUCCAUGAAUUGCCUUGAGACUGUUUGUUACAUUAAAGGCACUAUACCAAUCCAAGUUGUCAUUGUUGCUUGUGGAGUGGAGUGACUGCCUGUUGUAGAGCCCAUCUGAUCAUUAUCCUGUUUGUUUGUUUCUGUCAAGCAGAUUUUACAAUUGACAGGCAAUGGGGCUUGGUCCAUUUUCUGGGAAGGGUAUUCAGUUUGUUCAAAAUAAUCCCAUGGAGGCAACAUUCCUUAGAUCACUUGACACAACACAGAAACAAUGGAUAACCUUCCAGAGCUGUCCAGAUUCACUAUCUGACCAGUCAUUAAGCAGUAAAUUGGGGUAUGCUUUGUGUAUGUUCACUGGGAUAUUGCAGCUUAUAGUAGCAAAGUUACUGAUAGCCUAGCACCACAUGCCCAACACUUGAACUU